GCUGUCACAUAUGUGAUGAAUCUUUCACAGAAGGCUUGGGCAAAGUUCUGGCUGGCUGGCUGCUUCUCCUCCUCAACCCAGCUGUUCAGAGUCUUUGCCAAUCUGAUGAGGGCCUUCUGCCACAGAUUCUGUUGCUGUUGAGCCUUCUCAAACUGCUUCUGUAGCUGAGAGGUGGCCGUGGGGAUGCUGUCACUGACUCCUUUGAGAACUGGAGGAGGCAUUGUAACAGUCUUUCUCUGCCUCUUGCCAGUCUUUUCAGUAACAAAAUUGGCCGGUGACUCCGGCUUCAGUGGCCUGGUGUAGGCCGUGUCAAUGUCCUUGGGUGGACGGGAGGGCGUUGAGGGCUCCAUGACCACUCAACCUGUGCAGUACACACACGUAGAGUAAUCGCAGAGGGUGUGCAAUGAUGUUGAAUGGGUUGAAGGGUUAAAAUUAUACAAAAACAGUUAGAAAAUGGAAAAAUUCAAAUGUACCCCUACGUUCGUGGGUAGUUGUAAGAAUGU
RNAcentral lists this small RNA (503 nucleotides) under Histoplasma ohiense. RNAcentral describes it as "hypothetical lncRNA". The record is from RNAcentral. Lineage: Eukaryota; Fungi; Ascomycota; Eurotiomycetes; Onygenales; Ajellomycetaceae.